This 72-nucleotide transfer RNA is filed under the name Mastinocerus sp. MAS01. RNAcentral describes it as "tRNA-Lys". Lineage: Eukaryota; Metazoa; Arthropoda; Insecta; Coleoptera; Phengodidae. The record is from RNAcentral.
CAUUAGAUGGCUGAAAGUAAGUAUUGAUCUCUUAAAUCAUAAAAUAGUAAAUUAACUAAUUACUUCUAAUGA